UCUGAAUACUGAGACACAUGUGAU
RNAcentral lists this non-coding RNA (24 nucleotides) under Cricetulus griseus (Chinese hamster). The record is from RNAcentral. Lineage: Eukaryota; Metazoa; Chordata; Mammalia; Rodentia; Cricetidae.